GAUGAACGCUGGCGGCGUGCCUAAUACAUGCAAGUCGAGCGAACAGACGAGGAGCUUGCUCCUCUGACGUUAGCGGCGGACGGGUGAGUAACACGUGGAUAACCUACUUAUAAGACUGGGAUAAUUUCGGGAAACCGGAGCCAAUACUGGAUAAUAUAUUGAACCGCAUGGUUCAAUAGUGAAAGACGGUUUUGCUGUCACUUAUAGCUGGAUCCGCGCCGCAUUAGCUAGUUGGUAAGGUAACGGCUUACCAAGGCAACGAUGCGUAGCCGACCUGAGAGGGUGAUCGGCCACACUGGAACUGAGACACGGUCCAGACUCCUACGGGAGGCAGCAGUAGGGAAUCUUCCGCAAUGGGCGGAAGCCUGACGGAGCAACGCCGCGUGAGUGAUGAAGGUCUUCGGAUCGUAAAACUCUGUUAUUAGGGAAGAACAAAUGUGUAAGUAACUAUGCACGUCUUGACGGUACCUAAUCAGAAAGCCACGGCUAACUACGUG
This 497-nucleotide ribosomal RNA is filed under the name uncultured bacterium. RNAcentral describes it as "partial 16S ribosomal RNA". It matches the Rfam family "Bacterial small subunit ribosomal RNA", at positions 28 to 507 of the family's 1533-position model. The record is from RNAcentral.